CCCUGUGGCUCAGUUGGUAGAGCAUGGUGUUUGCAACGCCAGCAUGGUGUGUGCAACACCAGGGUUGUGGGUUCGAUUCCCACAGGGG
Molecule: non-coding RNA, 88 nt
Organism: Salmo salar (Atlantic salmon)
Lineage: Eukaryota; Metazoa; Chordata; Actinopteri; Salmoniformes; Salmonidae
Source: Rfam